GUCUUAACUAUGCCCCGCCUAUUUGAGUGUCUUGCCGCUUGGACAUUGCCCGUGUCGGCAACAACUGGGCAAAAUAAUUCAACUUUUCCACCAACAAAGUUAUAUGGUUUAAAAUACGUGUAACGAACCUCAGGUUUUCCACGAUGGCUCGGUUUGUAAUAAAGUAUAUUGGGCAAGAUACCCCAGGGUCCUACGUGAUAUUAGACAGGUGGUUUUAAUGUUGUGGCUGAUCAGUGUAUGUAAUAGAUAUGGGUGGAAAACUGGAAUUUAAGGUGAAACAAUUACAUAGUAAAAAUACUAAAACAGCCUCUUUCUCAAAAGUAUGGAAUGUUGAAAAAAACUGUGAUUAAAGGGUUAAGCAGUGUGUACAUAUAUCAUGCUUCAGCAGGGGGUUGGGUUUAGCCAUGUAUAUUCAUGAACGAGAAACUCUUCAAGUCUUUAUCACUUUGACAAAGACCUCUCUGUUUUACAUUGCCAUAUGAUUGUGGAGUCACACGACCAGAUUAGUGGGUCCAGGCAGAUUAUUUCUUAAUUCGUUGGGCCUCAC
Non-coding RNA from Pelobates cultripes (western spadefoot toad), 547 nucleotides. The record is from the annotation of a GenBank genome assembly. Lineage: Eukaryota; Metazoa; Chordata; Amphibia; Anura; Pelobatidae.